RNAcentral lists this ribosomal RNA (936 nucleotides) under uncultured bacterium. RNAcentral describes it as "bacterial SSU rRNA". It matches the Rfam family "Bacterial small subunit ribosomal RNA", at positions 8 to 916 of the family's 1533-position model. The record is from RNAcentral.
AGAGUUUGAUCCUGGCUCAGAAUGAACGCUGGCGGCGUGCCUAACACAUGCAAGUCGAACGAGAAAUUCCGGCUUCGGCUGGGAAAGUAAAGUGGCGCACGGGUGAGUAGCGCGUGGGUAACCUGCCUUUGAAUCGGGGAUAACUUCGCGAAAGCGUUGCUAAUACCGGAUAUUGUCCUUUAGGCUGUGGCCUUUGGGACGAAAGGUGACCUCUUCAUGAAAGUUGCCGUUCUUAGAGGGGCCCGCGUACCAUUAGCUAGUUGGUAGGGUAAUGGCCUACCAAGGCUACGAUGGUUAGCUGGUCUGAGAGGAUGAUCAGCCACACUGGAACUGAAACACGGUCCAGACUCCUACGGGAGGCAGCAGUGAGGAAUUUUGCGCAAUGGGGGAAACCCUGACGCAGCGACGCCGCGUGAGUGAAGAAGGCCUUCGGGUCGUAAAGCUCUGUCAAGUGGGAAAAAAGUCUGUUAGUUAAUAGCUAACAGGUCUGAUGGUACUACUAAAGGAAGCACCGGCUAACUCCGUGCCAGCAGCCGCGGUAAUACGGAGGGUGCUAGCGUUGUUCGGAAUUACUGGGCGUAAAGGGCGUGUAGGCGGUUUGGUAAGUCAGAUGUGAAAGCCCUGGGCUCAACCCAGGAAGUGCAUUUGAUACUGCCUUACUUGAGUAUGGGAGAGGAGAGUGGAAUUCCCAGUGUAGAGGUGAAAUUCGUAGAUAUUGGGAGGAACACCCGUGGCGAAGGCGACUCUCUGGACCAAUACUGACGCUGAGACGCGAAAGCGUGGGGAGCAAACAGGAUUAGAUACCCUGGUAGUCCACGCCGUAAACGAUGAGAACUAGGUGUAGCGGGUAUUGACCCCUGCUGUGCCGAAGUUAACACAUUAAGUUCUCCGCCUGGGGAGUACGGCCGCAAGGCUAAAACUCAAAUGAAUUGACGG